UCAAAUCAGGGACCAAACCAUCUUGGCGAUUAGGUCAACUCUUAACCUAAUCGGGUCAAACCCAACUGAAUCCAAUUCAAUUGGACUUGAUCCAAAAAUAAUAACUCAAUCAAAUUAAGUUAAUUAGUGAUCAAAUCACUAAUUAAACCUCUCAUAAAUACUGAGUCCAAAUCUGAUGGGCAAUCGGGCAUCAGAAUUCAUCGAUAUGUAACCCUG
RNAcentral lists this long non-coding RNA (216 nucleotides) under Elaeis guineensis (African oil palm). RNAcentral's name for it is "long non-coding RNA (EGUI_LNC071371)". The record is from RNAcentral. Lineage: Eukaryota; Viridiplantae; Streptophyta; Magnoliopsida; Arecales; Arecaceae.